This 1543-nucleotide long non-coding RNA is filed under the name Monodelphis domestica (gray short-tailed opossum). RNAcentral's name for it is "lncRNA (ENSMODG00000047946.1)". The record is from RNAcentral. Lineage: Eukaryota; Metazoa; Chordata; Mammalia; Didelphimorphia; Didelphidae.
GGGCCGCGGGGCCGGGGGGCUGGGGGAAACCCCGGAAGCAAAGCGGCACGGCACCACACCCUCCCCCGCCUCUCGAGGGGACCGAGGUCCGCUAGAGAAGGUCAGACGGCUCCGAGGACGGUCAGAACCGGGCCCACCCUCGACUCCGAGCCCAAGAGAGCGGCAGGAAGGCAAAAAGCCCGCCCCGGCACACGCGGGGAAAGAGGCGGAGAGGCAAACACGGAAAAGCCGAGAUCGCGGGCGCUCGAGGACGCAGCGCCGCCGAGGAGCAAACGGGACCCACGAGGGUCCGCCGCGCGGGGGUCAAGCGGCCCCGACCGGGCCCAAAAAUACGUCCCCCUCUGACCCUUCGUCCUCCAGCAGGCGAUCGGUGGCCGCACGACAAUCAAGGGCGGAGGCGCGGGGGAAGGGAAGGGCGCGAAGCCCCCCCCCCCAAGCCACACACGAGCGCGCUCAACGCCUGGCGGAGAAGACACCUUUCGCCAACAGAACCGGAGGGAUCCGAGAACAGAGGGGACAGGGGCCCGGCGCAGGAAAAAGACCCACACAAACGCGGGCGGGGGGGCGGCCCGCCGAGAACUCGGAACACACGGCACACACGCGACCCGCGGCCGACGCGACCAAACCGGCGAUUUUCCCUUCUCUCGCUCUCUCCACACAGCAAUGCGCGGAGAAGGCACAGGAGCUCCUCCUUCGCACACCCCAGAGCAGAGCGGGGCACCCGGGAGCCGACCGCCCGUCGGUCACGGGCAACUCAAGGCUCCCCCGUACAAGCCCGGCCACGGGAAGGCAUCGCGGGAAGGCGAUCGGCAAGGAGGCCGCCGCCAAAGCAGAAACACGGCCCUAGGAGCAGGGCCCGGUCCACCCGACUUGGAGCAGGAACCGCCACUCCCCCCUCCCCCAGGCGGGGCAGCGGGAGCCAGGAACAGGCGGGUGAGCGACAGAGUCAUCACCGCCUUGCCCUGACGGCCCUCCCUCGCGGGACCAGGGACACCACAUCGAUCCGAGGAGAAAUCCUCCAAAGACGGGAAAGAGGGCGGGAGGGGGACAGCGGCCCAACGACCCCAAGACGGGCCGAGAGAGGAGAGGACCCCGAGCGGAACGCCACCCGGGGAAAAAAAACCGAGGGCCGACCCCAACACCACCGAGGAGAGAGCGAGAAGACGGGGGCCGGGCGGCAACCCGGAGGCGCCGCGCAGCCCGAGGCAACAACCAGCCGAGAGGUUCCGGGAGAAGGACAGAGACCGGCAGCGGACCGCCUCACAGCACGACAACGGCCCCAAAGCCAAAAGCGCGGCUUUUCUGCACACCGGCUCGUCCUCCCCAUUCCCAACAACAGCCAGAGCACUUCUCCCCACUAGUCUGCAGGCACAAUCACCCGUUUGUUGACGAAAAAAUUACGUGCCGCACCACCGGGGGAAAUUUGAAAAUCGAGCCCAGCUCAUGGAACUCUGACCCGGAUAGCCCUGGCAAUCUCGACCCCAUCGGACUUCCGGACUGGAGCAGCUCACCGAGAAAAGGCAACGCCCACCGCGUCGAGCGU